CUUCGGUGAUGAUACGAUGACGAGACGGAACAUGGCUCAGUCUGGUUCUGCGGGUUCCUGGUUCAGGACCACGUUCUGUGGUUCUGCUCCAGUGCCUCAGACCAGGAAGUCCUUUUACAUGAAGAUAUCGAGGCAUUUGUCUGAGAAGG
Molecule: small nucleolar RNA, 149 nt
Organism: Cottoperca gobio
Lineage: Eukaryota; Metazoa; Chordata; Actinopteri; Perciformes; Bovichtidae
Source: Ensembl